Long non-coding RNA from Gymnogyps californianus (California condor), 335 nucleotides. RefSeq lists it as uncharacterized. NCBI's taxonomy places the organism in Eukaryota, Metazoa, Chordata, Aves, Accipitriformes, Cathartidae. The record is from RefSeq and is a predicted model, not a curated record. The transcript is spliced from 3 exons.
CACUUUCGGUUGCAGCCUUGAACGUCAUGGCUCUACGUGGCCUGGCCUGAGCCGUCCAUGGCUUACAGAGUGGGAUGCUCCUGAUUGCAAGCAGAAACCUGGGACACAAAUUAAAGACCUGAUGGAGAUGCCGGGGGUGGACAGCCUGCGGAGGCUGAGCUCACAGUGACACAAGCUUUUCCUGUCUCAAAAGAUGGAGAGAAGACAGACCAUAGCAUGCCUGACUUAGAUUGGUACAAGCUGGCUCUGCGCUGCAACGUCAUCUCUCGGACAGGUGUUUGAAGACGAAUACCCGAAGCCCUGCAAGUCAGACGAAAACACAGGCACCAGCAGUG